AGAGUUCGAUCCUGGCUCAGGACGAACGCUGGCGGCACGCUUAACACAUGCAAGUCGAACGAGAGAAGAGAAGCUUGCUUUUCUGAUCUAGUGGCGGACGGGUGAGUAACACGUGAGCAAUCUGCCUUUCAGAGGGGGAUACCGAUUGGAAACGAUCGUUAAUACCGCAUAACAUAAUUGAACCGCAUGAUUUGAUUAUCAAAGAUUUAUCGCUGAAAGAUGAGCUCGCGUCUGAUUAGCUAGUUGGUAAGGUAACGGCUUACCAAGGCGACGAUCAGUAGCCGGACUGAGAGGUUGAUCGGUCACAUUGGGACUGAGACACGGCCCAG
This 329-nucleotide ribosomal RNA is filed under the name uncultured bacterium. RNAcentral describes it as "bacterial SSU rRNA". It matches the Rfam family "Bacterial small subunit ribosomal RNA", at positions 8 to 334 of the family's 1533-position model. The record is from RNAcentral.